This 259-nucleotide ribosomal RNA is filed under the name uncultured bacterium. RNAcentral's name for it is "partial 16S ribosomal RNA". It matches the Rfam family "Bacterial small subunit ribosomal RNA", at positions 94 to 354 of the family's 1533-position model. The record is from RNAcentral.
AGUGGCGGACGGGUGAGUAACGCGUGGGCAACCUGCCUCGCACUGGGGGAUAACACUUAGAAAUAGGUGCUAACACCGCAUAGCGGGCGGGGGCGCAUGCCCCUGCCCUGAAAACCCAGGUGGUGCGAGAUGGGCCCGCGUCUGAUUAGCUGGUUGGCAGGGUAACGGCCUACCAAGGCGACGAUCAGUAGCCGGCCUGAGAGGGUGGACGGCCACAUUGGGACUGAGACACGGCCCAGACUCCUACGGGAGGCAGCAG